RNAcentral lists this ribosomal RNA (235 nucleotides) under uncultured bacterium. RNAcentral describes it as "partial 16S ribosomal RNA". It matches the Rfam family "Bacterial small subunit ribosomal RNA", at positions 97 to 334 of the family's 1533-position model. The record is from RNAcentral.
GGCGCACGGUGCGUAACGCGUAUGAAAGGUGUCCAGAACUCUGGGAUAGCCCCGGAAACGGGGAUUAAUACCGGAUGGUAUGAUAUGGUGGCAUCAUCAAAUCAUUAAAGCUCCGGCGGUUCUGGGUCCUCAUGCGUAUGAUUAGCUAGUUGGCGGGGUAACGGCCCACCAAGGCGACGAUCAUUAGGGGUCCUGAGAGGGAGGUCCCCCACACUGGUACUGAGACACGGGCCAG